This 474-nucleotide ribosomal RNA is filed under the name uncultured bacterium. RNAcentral describes it as "partial 16S ribosomal RNA". It matches the Rfam family "Bacterial small subunit ribosomal RNA", at positions 28 to 507 of the family's 1533-position model. The record is from RNAcentral.
GACGAACGCUGGCGGCGUGCUUAACACAUGCAAGUCGAGCGGUAAGGCUCCUUCGGGAGUACACGAGCGGCGAACGGGUGCGUAACACGUGAGUAAUCUGCCCUUCACUUCGGGAUAACCACCGGAAACGGUGGCUAAUACCGAAUACGACCAGUCUUCGCAUGAGGUGCUUGUGGAAAGUCUUUUCGGUGAAGGAUGUGCUCGCGGCCUAUCAGCUUGUUGGUGGGGUAAUGGCCUACAAAGGCUUCGACGGGUAGCCGGCAUGAGAGGGUGACCGGCCACACUGGGACUGAGACACGGCCCAGACUCCUACGGGAGGCAGCAGUGGGGAAGAUUGGACAAUGGGCGAAAGCAUGCUCCAGCAACGCCGCGUGAGGGAUGACGGCCUUCGGGUUGUAAACCUCAUGCAGUACCGACGAAGCGCCCUGUCGGGUGGUGACGGUAGGUACAGAAGAAGGACCGGCCAACUACGUG